AUGGUGGCCGCCGCGGUGACCGGCGCGUUGCUGCUUGCGUGGUGGUCCGUGGCGUUCCACCCGUCCAACAGCCGGCUGUGGAUGGUGCCCGUUGGCCUCGUGCUGGCAUGCACCCCGGCCGUCGUCUGCCUCGCGCUCACCCUUUUGGCCGAGCCGCGCGUGCAAAACGCCGGUGCGAAGACAGCGCUGUUGUCAGCCGUGGUCGUGGAGAUGUAG
This 216-nucleotide ribosomal RNA is filed under the name Triticum aestivum (bread wheat). RNAcentral describes it as "partial small subunit ribosomal RNA". Lineage: Eukaryota; Viridiplantae; Streptophyta; Magnoliopsida; Poales; Poaceae. The record is from RNAcentral.